UUUCNNUGGGGAAGAAGGUCAUAUUGCUAAUAUCAAUAUUGCUUGACGUUACCCAUGUAAGAAGCACCGGCUAACUCCGUGCCAGCAGCCGCGGUAAUACGGAGGGUGCAAGCGUUAAUCGGAAUUACUGGGCGUAAAGAGUACGUAGGUGGGUUAUUAAGUCAGGUGUGAAAUCCCUGAGCUUAACUUAGGAACUGCAUUUGAAACUGAUAAUCUAGAGUUUCGUAGAGGGGGGUAGAAUUCCAGGUGUAGCGGUGAAAUGCGUAGAGAUCUGGAGGAAUACCAGUGGCGAAGGCGACCCCCUGGGCGAGGACUGACACUCAGGUACGAAAGCAUGGGGAGCAAACAGGAUUAGAUACCCUGGUAGUCCAUGCUGUAAACGAUGUCGAUUUGAAGGUUGUGACCUUUGAGUUGUGACUUUCGGAGUUAACGCGUUAAAUCGACCGUCUGGGGAGUACGACCGCAAGGUUAAAACUCAAAUGAAUUGACGGGGGCCCGCACAAGCGGUGGAGCAUGUGGUUUAAUUCGAUGCAACACGAAGAACCUUACCUACUCUUGACAUCCAAAGAACUACGUAGAGAUAUGUGGGUGCCUUCGGGAACUUUGAGACAGGUGCUGCAUGGCUGUCGUCAGCUCGUGUUGUGAAAUGUUGGGUUAAGCAACGAGCGCAACCCUUAUCCUUUGUUGCCAACGAGUUAGGUCGGGAACUCAAAGGAGACUGCUGGUGAUAAACCGGAGG
Molecule: ribosomal RNA, 739 nt
Filed under: Blochmannia endosymbiont of Camponotus claviscapus
Lineage: Bacteria; Pseudomonadati; Pseudomonadota; Gammaproteobacteria; Enterobacterales; Enterobacteriaceae
Description: bacterial SSU rRNA
Rfam family: Bacterial small subunit ribosomal RNA
Source: RNAcentral